CCCUUAGAUGUUCUGGGCUGCACGCGUGCUACACCGAUAUUGCCAAUAUGUCAUUCUUAUCCGAAAUGGAUUGGGUAAUCAAGUAAUGAAAUUUCAUGCUUGGAAUCGGUAAUUGCAAUUUUAUCGUGAACGAGGAAUUCCUAGUAAGCACUAGUCAUCAGCUAAUGUUGAUUAUGUCCCUGCCCUUUGUACACACCGCCCGUCGCUACUACUGAUUGGGUGUUCAAGUGAGAUGCUUAGACCCUUGUUGCAUGGUUCAUUAUUGUGCUCCGAAAGGAAAAAGUUUCAAGCUUGAGUGUCUAGAGGAAGUAAAAGUCGUAACA
Molecule: ribosomal RNA, 323 nt
Filed under: uncultured eukaryote
Lineage: Eukaryota
Description: partial 18S ribosomal RNA
Rfam family: Eukaryotic small subunit ribosomal RNA
Source: RNAcentral